RNAcentral lists this ribosomal RNA (250 nucleotides) under uncultured bacterium. RNAcentral describes it as "partial 16S ribosomal RNA". It matches the Rfam family "Bacterial small subunit ribosomal RNA", at positions 57 to 305 of the family's 1533-position model. The record is from RNAcentral.
GCAAGUCGAACGAGAAAGUUCCUUCGGGAAUGAGUAAAGUGGCGGACGGGUGAGGAACGCGUGGAUAACCUGCCCUUCAGCGGGGGAUAACUAUUGGAAACGAUAGCUAAUACCGCAUAAGACUACGAAUCCUGCGGGUAACGUAGUAAAAGGCUUCGGCCACUGAUGGAUGGGUCCGCGUCCGAUUAGCUUGUUGGUGGGGUAAAAGCCUACCAAGGCUCCGAUCGGUAGCUGGUCUCAGAGGAUGAUC